GGCUCCGUGGCGCAAUUGGAUAGCGCGUCGGACUUCUAGAUGGAUAGAUGCAAGUUAUUCGGAGGCUGUGGGUUCGAGUCCCACCGGAGUCG
This 92-nucleotide transfer RNA is filed under the name Lingula anatina. It matches the Rfam family "tRNA". From Rfam's summary of the family: Transfer RNA (tRNA) molecules are approximately 80 nucleotides in length. Their secondary structure includes four short double-helical elements and three loops (D, anti-codon, and T loops). Further hydrogen bonds mediate the characteristic L-shaped molecular structure. tRNAs have two regions of fundamental functional importance: the anti-codon, which is responsible for specific mRNA codon recognition, and the 3' end, to which the tRNAs corresponding amino acid is attached (by aminoacyl-tRNA synthetases). tRNAs cope with the degeneracy of the genetic code in two manners: having more than one tRNA (with a specific anti-codon) for a particular amino acid; and 'wobble' base-pairing, i.e. permitting non-standard base-pairing at the 3rd anti-codon position. Lineage: Eukaryota; Metazoa; Brachiopoda; Lingulata; Lingulida; Lingulidae. The record is from Rfam by way of RNAcentral.